CCUACGGGAGGCAGCAGUGAGGAAUAUUGGUCAAUGGACGAGAGUCUGAACCAGCCAAGUAGCGUGAAGGAUGACUGCCCUAUGGGUUGUAAACUUCUUUUAUAUGGGAAUAAAACGUUCCACGUGUGGGAUUUUGUAUGUACCAUAUGAAUAAGGAUCGGCUAACUCCGUGCCAGCAGCCGCGGUAAUACGGAGGAUCCGAGCGUUAUCCGGAUUUAUUGGGUUUAAAGGGAGCGGAGAUGGAUUGUUAAGUCAGUUGUGAAAGUUUGCGGCUCAACCGUAAAAUUGCAGUUGAAACUGGCAGUCUUGAGUACAGUAGAGGUGGGCGGAAUUCGUGGUGUAGCGGUGAAAUGCUUAGAUAUCACGAAGAACUCCGAUUGCGAAGGCAGUUCACUAGACUGCAACUGACACUGAGGCUCGAAAGUGUGGGUAUCAAACAGGAUUAGAUACCCGUGUAGUC
RNAcentral lists this ribosomal RNA (460 nucleotides) under uncultured bacterium. Its description in RNAcentral is "partial 16S ribosomal RNA". It matches the Rfam family "Bacterial small subunit ribosomal RNA", at positions 338 to 795 of the family's 1533-position model. The record is from RNAcentral.